GAAGCAAGCCAGACAGCCGCUGGCCGUCGCAAGACGGCGGGAGGAAGGUCCGGACUCCAUAGAGCAGGGUGACGGUUAACGGCCGUCCGCCGAAAGCCUGGUGCAAGCCAGGUAUAAGGCGAGGAACAGGGCCACAGAGACGAGCGUAUUCAGUUACGGUGAAACGCGGUAACCUCCACUCGGAGCAAUUCCAAAUAGGCACGCAUUGAUGUUGCUCGCGGAGCGUGCGGGUAGGAAGCUUGAGCCGUGGAGUAAUUCACGGCCUAGAGGAAUGGCUGUCAUAGCAGGGCAACCUGCCGUAACAGAAUCCGGCCUAUCGGCUUGCUUCACUU
RNAcentral lists this RNase P RNA (332 nucleotides) under Noviherbaspirillum cavernae. Its description in RNAcentral is "Bacterial RNase P class A". It matches the Rfam family "Bacterial RNase P class A". Rfam says of the family: Ribonuclease P (RNase P) is a ubiquitous endoribonuclease, found in archaea, bacteria and eukarya as well as chloroplasts and mitochondria. Its best characterised activity is the generation of mature 5'-ends of tRNAs by cleaving the 5'-leader elements of precursor-tRNAs. Cellular RNase Ps are ribonucleoproteins. The record is from Rfam by way of RNAcentral. Lineage: Bacteria; Pseudomonadati; Pseudomonadota; Betaproteobacteria; Burkholderiales; Oxalobacteraceae.